This is a microRNA precursor of Medicago truncatula (barrel medic), 90 nucleotides long. It matches the Rfam family "MIR2617 microRNA precursor family". NCBI's taxonomy places the organism in Eukaryota, Viridiplantae, Streptophyta, Magnoliopsida, Fabales, Fabaceae. The record is from Rfam.
AUUAUGUGUGACAUGCCCGUUUGGGUUAUUACUCUGAUGCAUGUUUAUUUAUUAAUUAAUUGCUUUUGGGUAACGGGGUGUUACAAUUGG